GGGAAAGGAAAAGACUGGGAAAGCUAGGAAAAGGGAACAAGCAUUUGUAUAGCAUCUUCUAUGUGCUAGGCACCGAGCUGAAUGCUUUUCCGAAUGUGAUCUCCUUUGAUCCCCGCAUCUCAAUGAGGGGCCUUAAAAGAACAUCUUGGAGGGAAGGACAGACCUGGAUCCCCAGCCAAGGUGCAAAAAGAUGGGGAGCCUGGGGAGAAGCCUUCUGGUGCUAUGUGUGGCCAUCACCAUUGCAACACUUUCUGCUCAGCAAAAGGAGAGACUGAGUGACCAAGAAGCUAUAUCCCUGUUACUAGCUACCUACAACAGAGAGUCCAACGAUAAUUUCAUCUAUGGGCUCCUUCAAACCAAAUCUGUCUCUGACCAGGCUGAGAAACGGAUCCUGAGUUUUACCAUCCAGGAAACUAAGUGCCUUAAAUCAGAGAAUCAGAACCCUGACCAGUGUGAAUUCAAAGAAGGUGGGGUAAGUACUCCUUACUGA
This 490-nucleotide long non-coding RNA is filed under the name Phascolarctos cinereus (koala). Its description in RNAcentral is "lncRNA (ENSPCIG00000025976.2)". Lineage: Eukaryota; Metazoa; Chordata; Mammalia; Diprotodontia; Phascolarctidae. The record is from RNAcentral.